This 429-nucleotide ribosomal RNA is filed under the name Chloroflexota bacterium. Its description in RNAcentral is "Chloroflexi bacterium partial 16S ribosomal RNA". It matches the Rfam family "Bacterial small subunit ribosomal RNA", at positions 355 to 776 of the family's 1533-position model. The record is from RNAcentral. Lineage: Bacteria; Bacillati; Chloroflexota.
UGGGGAAUAUUGCACAAUGGGCGCAAGCCUGAUGCAGCCAUGCCGCGUGUAUGAAGAAGGCCUUCGGGUUGUAAAGUACUUUCAGCGGGGAGGAAGGGAGUAAAGUUAAUACCUUUGCUCAUUGACGUUACCCGCAGAAGAAGCACCGGCUAACUCCGUGCCAGCAGCCGCGGUAAUACGGAGGGUGCAAGCGUUAAUCGGAAUUACUGGGCGUAAAGCGCACGCAGGCGGUUUGUUAAGUCAGAUGUGAAAUCCCCGGGCUCAACCUGGGAACGGCAUAUGAUACUGGCAAGCUUGAGUCUCGUAGAGGGGGGUAGAAUUCCAGGUGUAGCGGUGAAAUGCGUAGAGAUCUGGAGGAAUACCGGUGGCGAAGGCGGCCCCCUGGACGAAGACUGACGCUCAGGUGCGAAAGCGUGGGGAGCAAACAGG